This 247-nucleotide ribosomal RNA is filed under the name uncultured bacterium. RNAcentral describes it as "partial 16S ribosomal RNA". It matches the Rfam family "Bacterial small subunit ribosomal RNA", at positions 524 to 776 of the family's 1533-position model. The record is from RNAcentral.
UACGUAGGCAGCGAGCGUUGUUCGGAGUUACUGGGCGUAAAGCGCGCGCAGGCGGCUAUCCAAGUCAGUGGUGAAAGCCCGGGCUCAACUCCGGAAUUGCCUUUAAGACUGCAUCGCUUGAAUCAUGGAGAGGUGAGUGGAAUUCCGAGUGUAGAGGUGAAAUUCGUAGAUAUUCGGAAGAACACCAGUGGCGAAGGCGACUCACUGACAUGUAUUGACGCUGAGGUACGAAGCGUGGAGCAACAGG